This 275-nucleotide ribosomal RNA is filed under the name uncultured bacterium. Its description in RNAcentral is "partial 16S ribosomal RNA". It matches the Rfam family "Bacterial small subunit ribosomal RNA", at positions 338 to 605 of the family's 1533-position model. The record is from RNAcentral.
CCUACGGGUGGCUGCAGUGGGGAAUAUUGGGCAAUGGGCGAAAGCCUGACCCAGCCACGCCGCGUGAGUGAUGAAGGCCUUCGGGUCGUAAAGCUCUGUGGGGAGGGACGAAUAAGCCAGGGGCUAAUCAGCCUGGCGAUGACGGUACCUCCUUAGCAAGCACCGGCUAACCCUGUGCCAGCAGCCGCGGUAAUACAGGGGGUGCAAACGUUGCUCGGAAUUAUUGGGCGUAAAGCGCGCGUAGGCGGUUUUUUAAGUCGGAUGUGAAAGCCCUC